RNAcentral lists this ribosomal RNA (460 nucleotides) under uncultured bacterium. Its description in RNAcentral is "bacterial SSU rRNA". It matches the Rfam family "Bacterial small subunit ribosomal RNA", at positions 340 to 789 of the family's 1533-position model. The record is from RNAcentral.
UACGGGAGGCAGCAGUGGGGAAUAUUGCACAAUGGGCGAAAGCCUGAUGCAGCUAUGCCGCGUGUAUGAAGAAGGCCUUAGGGUUGUAAAGUACUUUCAUCGGGGAGGAAAAAAACAAAACUAAUAAUUUUAUUUCUUGACGUUACCCGAAAAAGAAGCACCGGCUAACUCCGUGCCAGCAGCCGCGGUAAUACGGAGGGUGCUAGCGUUAAUCAGAAUUACUGGGCGUAAAGAGCACGUAGGUGGUUUUUUUAAAGUCAGAUGUGAAAUCCCUGGGCUUAACCUGGAACUGCAUUUUGAAACUGAAAUACUAGAGUAUCGUAGAGGGAGGUAGAAUUCUAGGUGUAGCGGUGAAAUGCGUAGAUAUCUGGAGGAAUACCUGUGGCGAAAGCGGCCUCCUAAACGAAUACUGACACUGAGGUGCGAAAGCGUGGGGAGCAAACAGGGAUUAGAUACCCGU